Molecule: ribosomal RNA, 482 nt
Filed under: uncultured bacterium
Lineage: Bacteria
Description: partial 16S ribosomal RNA
Rfam family: Bacterial small subunit ribosomal RNA
Source: RNAcentral
GACGAACGCUGGCGGCGUGCUUAACACAUGCAAGUCGAACGAUGAAGAAGAGCUUGCUCUUCGGAUUAGUGGCGAACGGGUGAGUAACACGUGACUAACCUGCCCCUUUCUCUGGGAUAACGCUCCGAAAGGAGUGCUAAUACCGGAUACUCACAUCGAGGCACAUGCCUUGAUGUGGAAAGUUUUUCGGAAAGGGAUGGAGUCGCGGCCUAUCAGCUUGUUGGUGAGGUAACGGCACACCAAGGCGACGACGGGUAGCCGGCCUGAGAGGGCGACCGGCCACACUGGGACUGAGACACGGCCCAGACUCCUACGGGAGGCAGCAGUGGGGAAUAUUGCACAAUGGGCGAAAGCCUGAUGCAGCGACGCCGCGUGAGGGAUGAAGGUCUUCGGAUUGUAAACCUCUUUCAGUAGGGACGAAGCGAAAGUGACGGUACCUAAAGAAGAAGCACCGGCUAACUACGUGCCAGCAGCCGCCGCCG